AAGGAUCUAUCCAUGCAACCUUGUUUUCGAGUUUUUUGGUUGAGAUGUUGAUGUUGGACGGAUUUGUAGGUGAAGAAGGCCAAGGAGAAGGAAUAGGCUGUGAGUUUUGAAGAAGAAAGGGAAACACGAUCAUUAAGGAAGCUUAAGCGGAAAGCACCCGGUGUGGAGUACGCCAGCAUUUUCCAGGUUACAACGAGGUCAUUCCGGACGAUUUGGAUUAGAAGUGGGUCGUUGGCAGAGUCCGUGUGUUGCUGUUCCUGUUGCUUGAAGUUCUUCCCAUUUGGUACUCUAUCGAUUUACUAGCUUUUCUUUCAAUGUUGAACUCUGUGAGGUCCGCCUACCUGGGAGCGCGCCUCACCCCUUUGUUUUAUUGUUAUUGUUGAACUCCUUUCAUUUCGGUUAUGAUGUAAGCCCUAAGGCGCCACAGUGCACUUGCCCGCUUUGUUUUGAAGCAUUUCCAGACUUGU
Molecule: long non-coding RNA, 467 nt
Organism: Rosa rugosa (rugosa rose)
Lineage: Eukaryota; Viridiplantae; Streptophyta; Magnoliopsida; Rosales; Rosaceae
Exons: 3
Source: RefSeq, a predicted model, not a curated record